Molecule: long non-coding RNA, 429 nt
Filed under: Mus musculus (house mouse)
Lineage: Eukaryota; Metazoa; Chordata; Mammalia; Rodentia; Muridae
Description: long non-coding RNA chr2:49185017-49185446
Source: RNAcentral
CAUGGCUCUGAAAUGCAUCCAGAAGGAACUGAUUGACUUACCUUCUGCUCAGCAUUCCGCAGGACCUGUCGGUAAUGGCUUGUUCCACUGACAGGCCACCACAAUGGGCCAGAAUGACAGUCUUUACCAAGGAGGUAUCUUUUUCCUGACCAUCCACAUCCCUACAGAUUAUCCUUUCAAGCCCCUAAAGGUAGGUUUCACUACCAAAAUCUGUCACCCAGAUAUCAACAGCAAUGGCAACAUUUGCCUGAACAUCCUGAGGUUAUAGUGGUCCCCAGCAUUGAGUGUGUCCAAAGUUCUCCUGUCCAUCUGCAUUCUGCUCUGCAACCCCAACCCUGAUGACCCACUGGUACCAGAAGUAGCCUACACUUAUAAAGCCGACAGAAGUACAAUAGAAUAGCAAGAGAGCAGACGUAGAAAUAUGCUAUG